UUAAGCAUAUCAAUAAGCGGAGGAAAAGAAACUAACAAGGAUUCCCCUAGUAACUGCGAGUGAAGAGGGAAAAGCUCAAAUUUAAAAUCUGGCAGUCUUUGAUUGUCCGAGUUGUAAUUUAGAGAAGUGUUACCCGUGCUGGACCGUGUACAAGUCUCCUGGAAUGGAGCGUCAUAGAGGGUGAGAAUCCCGUCUUUGACACGGACUCCCAGUGCAUUGUGGUAUGCUCUCAAAGAGUCGAGCUGUUUGGGAAUGCAGCUCUAAAUGGGUGGUAAAUUCCAUCUAAAGCUAAAUAUUGGCGAGAGACCGAUAGCGAACAAGUACCGUGAGGGAAAGAUGAAAAGAACUUUGGAAAGAGAGUUAAACAGUACGUGAAAUUGCUGAAAGGGAAACGCUUGAAGUCAGUCGCGUUGGCUAGGGAUCAACCUUGCUUUAGUGGGGUGUACUUCCUAGUUGACGGGUCAGCAUCAGUUUUGACCACUGGAAAAAGGCUUUGGGAAUGUGGCAACUCCGGUUGUGUUAUAGCCCAUUGUCGUAUACAGUGGUUGGGACUGAGGAACUCAGCACGCCGCAAGGCCGGGAUUCGUCCGCGUUCGUGCUUAGGAU
This 606-nucleotide ribosomal RNA is filed under the name uncultured Trichocomaceae. Its description in RNAcentral is "eukaryotic LSU rRNA". It matches the Rfam family "Eukaryotic large subunit ribosomal RNA", at positions 34 to 624 of the family's 3401-position model. The record is from RNAcentral. Lineage: Eukaryota; Fungi; Ascomycota; Eurotiomycetes; Eurotiales; Trichocomaceae.